AACCGCUGUAUGCGAGACCCGCUUGUACAGUGGUGUGAGAGGCGCACCCCGUCAAUUAAUACUGGCGGGGCCGUCUACUCGAU
This 83-nucleotide unclassified non-coding RNA is filed under the name Pontibacter lucknowensis. Lineage: Bacteria; Pseudomonadati; Bacteroidota; Cytophagia; Cytophagales; Hymenobacteraceae. The record is from RNAcentral.